UGGAGAAAUAUGAUGAUAAUAAUCAGUAAAUAUCUUAGGACACCUUCUGACACAGUUUACUGUGUAUGAGAAAGACUUGUUAAUCUGAUUCUCCA
Small nucleolar RNA from Arabidopsis lyrata subsp. lyrata, 95 nucleotides. It matches the Rfam family "Small nucleolar RNA snoR31/Z110/Z27". From Rfam's summary of the family: This family contains several related snoRNAs including R31, Z27 and Z110. Family members belong to the C/D class of snoRNAs which contain the C (UGAUGA) and D (CUGA) box motifs. NCBI's taxonomy places the organism in Eukaryota, Viridiplantae, Streptophyta, Magnoliopsida, Brassicales, Brassicaceae. The record is from Rfam.